Molecule: ribosomal RNA, 396 nt
Filed under: uncultured bacterium
Lineage: Bacteria
Description: bacterial SSU rRNA
Rfam family: Bacterial small subunit ribosomal RNA
Source: RNAcentral
UAUUGCACAAUGGGGGAAACCCUGAUGCAGCGACGCCGCGUGAGCGAAGAAGUAUUUCGGUAUGUAAACCUCUGUCUUCGGGGACGAAAGAUGACGGUACCCGAGGAGGAAGCCACGGCUAACUACGUGCCAGCAGCCGCGGUAAUACGUAGGUGGCGAGCGUUGUCCGGAAUUACUGGGUGUAAAGGGAGCGUAGGCGGGAAGACAAGUUGGACGUUAAAUUUAUCGGCUUAACCGGUAACCGCGUUCAAAACUGUUUUUCUUGAGUGAAGUAGAGGUUGGCGGAAUUCCUAGUGUAGCGGUGAAAUGCGUAGAUAUUAGGAGGAACACCAGUGGCGAAGGCGGCCAACUGGGCUUUAACUGACGCUGAGGCUCGAAAGCGUGGGGAGCAAACAG